Molecule: RNA transcript, 2204 nt
Organism: Solanum dulcamara
Lineage: Eukaryota; Viridiplantae; Streptophyta; Magnoliopsida; Solanales; Solanaceae
Exons: 3
Source: RefSeq, a predicted model, not a curated record
AGGGUCAUUCUUAUCCCAAGAGAAUUCUAGAAAAUUCAAGAGGAAGAAGAGAAGAGAAAUUUGAAGCUAGAGAGAGAGAGCUCGGUUUUGGGGGAGAAAAAGAGCCCAAAAACGUUACCAAGCAGUCCCAAAGUUCUAGCCGCGCUAGGAGAGCUUCCGAGGCAAGUUUUGGCGAGUUUCGGGAAAGAAAAACAAGUUGGACACAUAAGCGUAGCUAGUAAGGCGCGGCACAGGUAUGUAAAGCUAACCGUUCCUUCUUUUGGCAUGUCUUUGGCAUAAGUAUGUAAGGUUUACCCUUCUUUCUCUUGGCAUGUUUUGACAUAAGUAUAUAGAGCUACCCUUUCUUUUUGGCAUGAUUUUUAUGAAACAAGUAUAUGACAUUUUAUACAAUUUCAAGGAAGUCUUAUUCGUAGAGUCACUAGGAUGGCCAAUUUUCUUGAGUUUCCAAAGGAUAUUUUUUCGUUCUUAGAUAUGUGUAUAUGAUUCCAAAAGUUUUAUUGUGAUAUAAUCCAUGGUAAUUUUUGAAAGGUACAUGACAUGACUCUUGUCCUGAUUUUUGAAUCAUAGCUCAUUCCGAUUAUUCUAUGAGUCUUGAAAAUUAAUCCUAUGUGCAUAUGUAUACGAUUUGGCGCCUUAUAAGAUUGUGACCUUAUUCUACGUUCUCUUAAUAUUAUCUUUCGUUGAUAGUCUCAUCCUAUAAUAAUUGUUCCUUCAAGGUGAGACAAAGCGACCAUGGUUAGUCUAUAAUACAAUCGGAGGUUACCGACCUUCCGUCACUCCGAUAAAUAUACGACUUUUGUUGGGCUCUCGUGCAUGCUGUCUAUAUGUAUAUGUAUAUGUAUAUGGGGGAUAUGGGAAGGUGUAUAUGCGGCGCUAUAGACGCAUUCCCACCUGAUCAGUUGGAGUAAUUUUCAUCCUGGACGCGGGAUGUCCGAACGCAGGACAUAUGUGGGCGAGCCGACGUUGUUCGGUGAUAUGACUUUUAUUUUCUAUGUAUAUGAAAAAGAAAUGUUUUUAAAGAUAAGACAAGCAUGCAUGACAUUCGGCUUAAAAGACACUCAUAUGUACAAGUUACUUCUCUACCUCGUGAUAUGUUCUAUAUUUCUACCAUGUUAUUAUUCAUAUUUAUAUUCCUUACUAUGUUACUAUUCAUGACUUACAUACUCAGUACAAAGCUCGUACUGACCCCCUUUUUCUUCGGGGGCUGAGUUUCAUGCCGCGUAGGUACACCCAGAUGAAUAGAAGCUAUUAUAGAAGAUGUUCCAGUGGGGUUAACAACUCCACUUGUUCCUGGAGUGCUGCCGAGUCAGAUUAUAAGCGCUAUGAUGUUUCAUUCGAAGUUAGAGACUUUGCAGACAGAGUUGUGGGUAUAGAGUGUCAGCUUUGUAAGCGGCGUCACCAGUCGACAUGUUAUUAUGUCGUAUGUUAUGAGUUUUAUGGGAUGAUAGAUUUUGGAAAAAAUAAAAUAAUUCGAGUAGCUUAGUUAUGCUUUUCAUUUCUUAUUGAUGUAAAAGUCUAAAGAGAUUAAGUAUGUAAUAUGAGGUAGCGGGUUCGCUCAGCUCCGAGCAUGGGGUCGGGUGCCCAUCACACCCUAUUAAGAUCGGGGUGUGACAGGUUGCUUCGGCCGGAGCUUCUGUUCCUCUUACCGCCGAGCAGGCCGCAGUUGGUGUUGCUUCGGUUGAAGCUUGAGUUGCUGCUCUGCCUCCAGCUGACCAGCCUCCAUCUGUUGUCGAUCUCAUUCUCUCGGCCCGUUACUUUCCAGCCAAGGUUCCGAGUGGUCCACAAGACCGGCUACACCCCUAUCCGGCGAAUGAAUUUAGAAGGGUGGAAGAGUAUUUCAUCUCAGAACCUAUGAUAACAAUCAAAACUGUUAAUGAAGCUAAGAUACGCCAAGUGAUCUUUCAAAAAUACGGCGACAUUGACGACGUCGUUGUUAAAAUCAAUGGGCAUAAUGACCGAGUUAAUGGUGAAGUUGGCGUUGUGUUGAAUGGAAUGGAUCUUGUGUGAAGUGAUGUCAAUAUGUAGGUAUCAGGCGAUCUAGGAAGGUAGGAAGAGCUAAUGUAGUAACUGUUUCUAAUUCGUUUUUAGCAAUAUAUUGUAAAAGUAAAAUGUAAUGAAUAUUGUGUGAAGUCACUGGGGAUUUGGGAAGGUGGGAAGAAGUAAUAUAGUAAAUGUUUGUUUCUAAUUCGUUCUUUGUAAUUGUA